CGCCAGGCCCGCCGACUGGAGCUCACAGCCCGGGAGAGCCUUACGUCAUGAAGAUGCGGCGGCUCGAUUGGCCGCACGAGGCGUCCAGCCCGCCCUCUCCUCCCGGCCUAUCCGCGCGCGCGCGCGCACCCCUUCCUUUCGCCCCGGCGCCCGCGAUUGGAGCGGGCGCGCACGCAGCCAGCCCCCGCCCCGCGCACACCGCCCCGCCCCGUCCACGCUCCCCGGCCCCACCCCGCCCUCCCCAGGCCUCCACCGCGACCUGGGGAAGCGCUGAGAUCCGUCAGAGUACAGCCCCCGGCCCCCUCAUCCCGCGACUGCGUUCCCCGGGGCUCUCCUCUGGCGGUCGGCAUCCCAGGUGGAGGUCCGGCAGCCCCCUGAGCGGGCUGAGGAGAAGGCGGCCAGGUCGCAGGUGCCUCAGUCUCUCCUCGCUCUUGGGCCUGUCGGCUAUUUUCUCUAAGGUUUCAGGGGGAGCGCUGAAAAUUCGGGUAUCUUCCCAAACACAACCUUGUCACCCACCUCUGACCAUUUUGUGGGAAGAAAGAAACAUAAGAAAAGCAUGCACACCUUUUUUUAACUGGCUGCCUGAUUUUCUGUACAGCUGCUCUAAUUGAUUAUUGAUGGUAUAUAGACAUAUACGAAUUAGGCCAAAUUAUAGGAUUUGACCCCUCUUACAAGUGGCUUUCUGGGUCACCCUGCCCAGGCUUUUGGUGCACCCGUGCUUCUUAUAGGUCCUUCCCGACGUAUUCUGCAUUCUGCACUUACAGGAAUCUAUUGGUAGGGUCACAGUAUUGCUUCCUGCUCUGUGAUGUGUUUUCACAUCCUAGCUCUAAGAUAACUUGAAAGUUAAAUAACGAUAUUCAUAAGACUGUCUUUAAGGAGAAUAAUCACAUCAGGCUGAUAUUUCUUCUAACACUGAAAUCAUGCAUUAGAAGAUUUUAGAGGGGAAAAAACAAAAACGUUGAAAGCUCACUUUCCAAGAGAACCUGCCUGUUGGAUAUGUUGCAGAGCCCUUCUCAGGUGCCUCCUCUAAGCUUAUGUCUAAGCUUUGAGACUAAGGCCUCUGCUCUUCCCGGUGACAUCAUCCCUGGGCCCAGUGAUGGGGUCUGCCUGUGAGAGACCAGGAAUAAUUCUCUAAAGUUGGUAUGGAAAAAAUAUGACUCAGUUCCAUCCGGUAGUACAAUCCACUGAGCAACCCCACCAGAGGUGCUGUGGAUUUUCUGGGCAGUGAGUGACGUACACAUUCCAUCACAGGAUAUCAGCCCUGUCACAGUGUAACAGUGGAACUGUUAGGGUCACCGAAGGAGAGUGUUGUUCUGUGGUGUGGAUGGACCACAGCUUAGCUGUUCCCUGGUGGAAGACAUCUGGUUUGUUUCCACUGUGAGCUGUUACAAAUAAAGCUGCUAUGAGCAUUUGUGUACAGGUUUUUGUGUGAACAUAAGUCUUCAAAGAAGUACAAUUACUGCCCAGGUAGCAUGGCUCAGUGGUUGAGCAUUGACCUAUGAACCAGGAGAUCACAGUUCAACUCCCAGUCAAAACACAUGUCCAGGUUGUGGGCUCAGUCCCCAGUGGGCGGCGUGCAGGAAGCAGCCCAUCAAUGAUUCUCUCUCAUCAUUAAUGUUUCUAUCUCUCUCUCCCUCUCCCUUCCUCUCUGAAAUAAAAGAAACCCUAUAUAAUAAAGAGGUAAUAUGCAAAUUGACCCUCAUGCCAUCAUGCUAUCACAAGAUGGCUGCCCUGCCCAGCCCCUCCCCUGGCCCUACCCCUGAUCAGCCUCUCCUACCCCAAUUGAGGGUGGGGGGUUGGCUAGCACAGCCCCUCACCCAGGCCGGCCACAGCCCCACACUUUCCUGAGGCUGGGGAUACCCCAGGCAGGCUGCAGGCAAGGUGUUGGUCAGGGGUAAAGGUCCUGGCUGUCCCUGGCCUAGAGAGUCCAGGAAACCUCAGCAGUGACCAAGACCGAGUGGAAAGGUCCCUGCAGGCGUUUAUGACUCAAAAUACCAGGAGGAGGUGGAGCAUCUUGAACCUGCAACCCUGGUGUCUGCACACCAAGCCUGGGGGCACAGCAUGCCGGUGGUGCCUGUGUGUGAAAGGAGGAGAGCAGGGAGCUGGGUGCGGAGCUGGGAGGGGCCUAGAGUCUUCGGGAGCAGCCUGCCUGCUGAGGCUGCUGUGACCUGCCCGCUCAGGCUGGUCAAAGCCCCUGGUCAGCUCUGCCGCUUGCCUUCCAGGGUGGCUAGUCCUGAGCCGGCUGGCGUUGCACUCAGAGAAGCAGCUGUCACUGGGCUCAGUUA
Molecule: long non-coding RNA, 2285 nt
Organism: Myotis daubentonii (Daubenton's bat)
Lineage: Eukaryota; Metazoa; Chordata; Mammalia; Chiroptera; Vespertilionidae
Source: RefSeq, a predicted model, not a curated record